RNAcentral lists this ribosomal RNA (450 nucleotides) under uncultured bacterium. Its description in RNAcentral is "bacterial SSU rRNA". It matches the Rfam family "Bacterial small subunit ribosomal RNA", at positions 354 to 796 of the family's 1533-position model. The record is from RNAcentral.
GUGGGGAAUAUUGGACAAUGGGCGAAAGCCUGAUCCAGCCAUGCCGCGUGUGUGAAGAAGGUCUUCGGAUUGUAAAGCACUUUAAGUUGGGAGGAAGGGCAGUAAGUUAAUACCUUGCUGUUUUGACGUUACCGACAGAAUAAGCACCGGCUAACUCUGUGCCAGCAGCCGCGGUAAUACAGAGGGUGCAAGCGUUAAUCGGAAUUACUGGGCGUAAAGCGCGCGUAGGUGGUUCGUUAAGUUGGAUGUGAAAGCCCCGGGCUCAACCUGGGAACUGCAUCCAAAACUGGCGAGCUAGAGUACGGUAGAUGGUGGUGGAAUUUCCUGUGUAGCGGUGAAAUGCGUAGAUAUAGGAAGGAACACCAGUGGCGAAGGCGACCACCUGGACUGAUACUGACACUGAGGUGCGAAAGCGUGGGGAGCAAACAGGAUUAGAAACCCCAGUAGUCC